This is a small nucleolar RNA of Apodemus sylvaticus (European woodmouse), 128 nucleotides long. RefSeq annotates it as small nucleolar RNA SNORA17. Lineage: Eukaryota; Metazoa; Chordata; Mammalia; Rodentia; Muridae. The record is from RefSeq and is a predicted model, not a curated record. The transcript has a single exon.
AUUGUCCCUAGAAACAUUACAAGGGUGGCUGCUGUAUCACAUGUCAGUAGGUGGCAAAGAAGAGAGAGGCUAUGUUUACACUCAGUGUUCUGACCUCUGAACAUCUGAAUGAUUAGUAGCCUAACAUU